AGUGCCCCAACCUGGACGUUCCAGAAGAGGCCAGGGAGGAUCUGAGAUGGCCUUCUUCAACUUGUAUCUAUUGGGAUAUCAAAAUUCCUUUCAGAACAAGAAAAGGAACACAACUGAAGAAACAAACCAGAAGGAACCAGAGCCUACUAGGCUUCCCCCCAUUAUCUCAAAAGAUGGGAAUUAUUCCGUGCACCAGAAUAGCCACACAAGAUACCACGAAGCUGUCCGGAAGGUGUUGUUGAAGACGUUUCCCAAUCAGGUCUUCAGAAUCCCCUUGACUGAUGCUCAGAACUUCAGCUUCUGGUGGUCCCAUGAUCCAGGAGUGCGUCCAGAGGAAACCAUGCCAUGGAUCCGGAGCCCACGCCAUUGUCUCAUAAAAAGCGCGAUGACCAGGUUUAUGGAUCACUCUAUUCUCAAUGACAGGACCUUCAGUCUGUAUUAAGAAGAUAUGGCUGCAGAAAGACAAGAUGAAUUGUGGCAAGAGUGCAGAGGGGGAAAGAAGGAGGUUUCCCAGUUCCGAUGGCUGACUAAUGGGAGGAGGAGAUGGAGAAAGCACAUAGAAAAGGGGUUUCACUAUGUUGGUCAGGCUGGUCUUGAACUCCCGACCUCAUGAUCUGCCCACCUCGGCUUCCCAAAGUGCUGGGAUUACAGGCAUGAUCCACCGCGCCCGGCAUGGCUUCAUCCUUUCAACACCUCUAAAAGACUUGAUAUAGGAGGUCAGAGGGAAGAAAACCCCACAGGAGCCCUGAUGGGAAAUCUGUGAUCCCAUCCCCAGCCUAUAAUCCCAGCUUCACCUGGAAAAAGUCCUGGGAAAACCCGCCAAGCAACAAAGCCCUCUUACCAAUCUUCAUCUGGAAAUUGUUGAAGGAGUGCUCAUUGAUGUGCUUCAUCUGCUCCAUGAGCCGCAUGGCGUAGUCAGCCAGGGCAGUGAUGUGGGAGCGGCCCACCUGAUCGUAGGUGCUGGCGUUCAGCCCUGAGGCAGCCAUGUAGGUGCUACCAAUCGUCUUGAUCUUUUCCAGCUGCCGGAACCGCUCCUCGCUGAUAAUCUGAACAACACAAGGAGACCUGGCUGUCAAGGCAAAGACCCCAGACCCAGCCCUGCCCCAACACUCAUUUCUUGCCACGCCUUGGCUGCCUUCCCCACUUCCCUGUCUCAAGAGCCCCCUUCCAGCUGCUGCUAUCAGUGUAAGACUGAGGAGCUGGGAAAACAGGCAGCCUAGGACUCCAGGCAGGACUUGGGCAUACAGCUUCAGAAGGUCCCUCCAGUAGCUCACUCACAGAACACAGACCCACAAGUGCAAUAUUAAGCAAUUUCUCCAAUCCUUACCUUUUGGGAUACUGAGUCCCAGAGUGAGCAAGUGACUUCCCUCCAGAACAGUGAACAGCCCAUUCCUGAUCUGGAUGUUCAGGACACUACCUCACAUUUUGCUUCAAUUUUCUCUAUUCAGAGGACCAUCUUGCUUGGUUGGUCUCAUGAGGUUCUGUCCACAGACUAUUGCCUUCUUCUUCAGUGACAUCCACCUGGUACCUAUCCU
RNA transcript from Homo sapiens (human), 1535 nucleotides. It is a transcript of the gene named sperm microtubule inner protein 11, with no coding region annotated. NCBI's taxonomy places the organism in Eukaryota, Metazoa, Chordata, Mammalia, Primates, Hominidae. The transcript is spliced from 6 exons. The record is from RefSeq and is marked validated.